CAAAAGCUUGGUCCUGACUUUAUUAUCAGCUAUAACCCAAAUUAUACAUGCAAGUAUCCGCACCCCUGUGAGAAUGCCCUUAAUCCCCCGCCCGGGGACGAGGAGCCGGCAUCAGGCACAUUAUAUAGCCCAAGACGCCUUGCUAUGCCACACCCCUAAGGGAACCCAGCAGUAAUAAACAUUAAGCAAUAAGUGAAAACUUGACUUAAUUAGGGUAAUUUAGGGUCGGUAAAACUCGUGCCAGCAACCGCGGUUAUACGAGAGACCCUAGUUGAUAAACACGGCGUAAAGAGUGGUUAGGGUGUACAACAAAUAAAGCCGAAUAACCUCUAGGCCGUUUCAAGCAAUACGAGAAUACGAAGCCCUAUUACGAAAGUAGCUUUACCCCCUCCUGACCCUACGAAAGCUAAGAAACAAACUGGGAUUAGAUACCCCACUAUGCUUAGCCUUAAACUUAGAUGUUUAAACUACAAGAAACAUCCGCCAGGGUACUACGAGCGCUAGCUUAAAACCCAAAGGACUUGACGGUGUCUCAGACCCACCUAGAGGAGCCUGUCCUAUAACCGAUAACCCACGUUUAACCUUACCACCCCUUGUUUAACCCGCCUAUAUACCGCCGUCGCAAGUUUACCCUGUGAAGGUUUAACAGUAUGCAAAAUGAGAGAACCUCAGAACGUCAGGUCGAGGUGUAGCUUACGAGGUGGAUGAGAUGGGCUACAUUUUCUAUACCAGAAUAUACGAAUGGUGUUAUGAAAUAAACACCUGAAGGUGGAUUUAGUAGUAAAAAUUAAUCAGAGAGUCAUUUUGAACCAGGCUCUGAGACGCGCACACACCGCCCGUCGCCCUCCCCAACUACUUUCAAAUAAGUAAUUAACCACAAGACUAAUAACACGGGGAGAUAAGUCGUAACAUGGUAAGUGUACCGGAAGGUGUACUUGGAUAAUC
Molecule: non-coding RNA, 945 nt
Filed under: Hyphessobrycon elachys
Lineage: Eukaryota; Metazoa; Chordata; Actinopteri; Characiformes; Acestrorhamphidae
Description: 12S ribosomal RNA
Rfam family: Bacterial small subunit ribosomal RNA
Source: RNAcentral